This 391-nucleotide unclassified non-coding RNA is filed under the name soil metagenome. RNAcentral's name for it is "partial contains 5.8S ribosomal RNA, internal transcribed spacer 2, and large subunit ribosomal RNA". The stretch from base 1 to 122 matches the Rfam family "5.8S ribosomal RNA", at positions 35 to 154 of the family's 154-position model. The record is from RNAcentral.
GAUGAAGAACGCAGCGAAAUGCGAUACUUGGUGUGAAUUGCAGAAUCCCGUGAACCAUCGAGUCUUUGAACGCAAGUUGCGCCCGAAGCCAUUAGGCCGAGGGCACGCCUGCCUGGGCGUCACACGUCGUUGCCCCCCCAUCUACUCCUUCGGGAUUGCGGGGGGCGGAUGAUGGCCUCUCGUGCGCCUCGUCGCGCGGUUGGCCUAAAUGCCAAGUCCUCGGCGACGCACGCCACGACAAUCGGUGGUUGCGAAACCUCGGUUGCCUGUCGUGGGCGGUCGUCGCGCAUCGAGGGCUCGAAAAAAUUGCCGGGCUUCGGCUCGACUUUCAACGCGACCCCAGGUCAGGCGGGGUUACCCGCUGAAUUUAAGCAUAUCAAUAAGCGGAGGA